CCCUAGCCCGGAUGGGAGUGGCAUCCUCUUGGGGCGGGGUUCGACCCAAGAGAUAGAACGGACAGCCGGAAAUAGC
This 76-nucleotide small RNA is filed under the name Flavobacterium sp. 9R. RNAcentral's name for it is "Flavo-1". It matches the Rfam family "Flavo-1 RNA". Lineage: Bacteria; Pseudomonadati; Bacteroidota; Flavobacteriia; Flavobacteriales; Flavobacteriaceae. The record is from RNAcentral.